This 329-nucleotide ribosomal RNA is filed under the name uncultured bacterium. Its description in RNAcentral is "bacterial SSU rRNA". It matches the Rfam family "Bacterial small subunit ribosomal RNA", at positions 570 to 898 of the family's 1533-position model. The record is from RNAcentral.
CGUAGGCGGUUUGGACAGUCAGGCGUGAAAUUCCCGGGCUUAACCUGGGGGCUGCGCUUGAUACAUCCAGGCUUGAGUGAGGAAGAGGGUCGUGGAAUUCCCAGUGUAGAGGUGAAAUUCGUAGAUAUUGGGAAGAACACCGGUGGCGAAGGCGGCGACCUGGUCCUUUACUGACGCUGAGGCGCGAAAGCGUGGGGAGCAAACAGGAUUAGAUACCCUGGUAGUCCACGCUGUAAACGAUGUGUGCUGGAUGUUGGGUGACCUAGUCACUCAGUGUCGUAGCUAACGCGGUAAGCACACCGCCUGGGGAGUACGGCCGCAAGGUUGAA